RNAcentral lists this non-coding RNA (24 nucleotides) under Arabidopsis thaliana (thale cress). The record is from RNAcentral. Lineage: Eukaryota; Viridiplantae; Streptophyta; Magnoliopsida; Brassicales; Brassicaceae.
UUUAUGGUUUGAAAAAGACUCAGA